GAUCUGGCUCAGGAUGAACGCUAGCUACAGGCUUAACACAUGCAAGUCGAGGGGAAACGAUAUUGGAAGCUUGCUUCCGAUAGGCGUCGACCGGCGCACGGGUGAGUAACGCGUAUCCAACCUGCCCACCACUUGGGGAUAACCUUGCGAAAGUAAGACUAAUACCCAAUGAUAUCUCUAGAAGACAUCUGAAAGAGAUUAAAGAUUUAUCGGUGAUGGAUGGGGAUGCGUCUGAUUAG
This 239-nucleotide ribosomal RNA is filed under the name uncultured bacterium. Its description in RNAcentral is "partial 16S ribosomal RNA". It matches the Rfam family "Bacterial small subunit ribosomal RNA", at positions 15 to 244 of the family's 1533-position model. The record is from RNAcentral.